This 467-nucleotide ribosomal RNA is filed under the name uncultured bacterium. Its description in RNAcentral is "partial 16S ribosomal RNA". It matches the Rfam family "Bacterial small subunit ribosomal RNA", at positions 28 to 506 of the family's 1533-position model. The record is from RNAcentral.
GACGAACGCUGGCGGCGUGCUUAACACAUGCAAGUCGAACGGAAAGGCCCUGCUUUUGUGGGGUGCUCGAGUGGCGAACGGGUGAUUAACACGUGAGUUACCUGCCCUUGAUUUUGGGAUAACUUCAGGAAAUUGUGGCUAAUACCGGAUAGGAGCUCCUGCUGCUUGGUGGGGGUUGGAUAGUUUCGGCGGUUGGGGAUGGCCUCGCGGCUUAUCAGCUUGUUGUUGGGGUAGUGACUUACCAGGUCUUUGACGGGCAGCCGGCCUGAGCGGGGGACCGGCAAAAUUGGGACGAGAAUGAGGACCAGACUCCUACGGGAGGCAGCAGUGGGGAAAAUUGCACAAUGGGCGAAAGCGUGAUGCAGCAACACCGGGUGAGGGAUAACGGCCUUCGGGUUGUAAACCGCUUUCGCAGGUGACGAGGCGUGAGUGACGAUAAUGGGUAAAAAGACAACGGCUAACAACGU